GUUUGAGGGUGGAGUUUGUGAAUUCCGUGAUAAGUUGGCUAAGUACGCGAUUGAGAAUGGUUUUAAGAUGAAGUAUUUGAAGAAUGAGCCUCGUCGUGUUACUGCUGUGUGUGCUAAGAAGGAAUCAAAUGGCUGUGAGUGGAAUGUGCAUGCUGUUAAGUCCAAUGUAAAUGGAUUUUUCUAUAUUAAGAAUUUAAAUAAUGUACACAGUUGUAGUGGUUUGAUCCGUGAGAAGAGAAAUAAGGCAAUGGGGUCU
This 256-nucleotide long non-coding RNA is filed under the name Prunus dulcis (almond). Its description in RNAcentral is "sRNA ncRNA". Lineage: Eukaryota; Viridiplantae; Streptophyta; Magnoliopsida; Rosales; Rosaceae. The record is from RNAcentral.